GAUGAACGCUAGCUACAGGCUUAACACGUGCAAGUCGGGGGUCAGCAUGAACAAAGCUUGCUUUGUUUGAUGGCGACCGGCGCACGGGUGAGUAACGCGUAUCCGACCUGCCCAUGACUCGGGCACAGCCGCUCGAAAGAGCGAUUGAUUCCCGAUAUGUCUUUGGAGUAUAUUCUUAGAUGAAAGAUUUAUCGGUCAUGGAUGGGGAUGCGUAGGAUUAGGUAGUAGGCGGGGUAACGGCCCACCUAGCCGACGAUCCUUAGGGGUUCUGAGAGGAAGGUCCCCCACACUGGUACUGAGACACGGACCAG
RNAcentral lists this ribosomal RNA (311 nucleotides) under uncultured bacterium. RNAcentral describes it as "bacterial SSU rRNA". It matches the Rfam family "Bacterial small subunit ribosomal RNA", at positions 28 to 334 of the family's 1533-position model. The record is from RNAcentral.